GCCAGGCAUGGUGGUGCAUGCCUGUAGCCCCAGCUACUUAGGGGGCUGAGAUGGGAGGAUCACUUGAGCCCAGGAGGUCGAGGCUGCAGUGAGCCGAGAUCCUGCCACUGCACUCCAGCCUGAGUGACAAACUGAGACUCCAUCUCAA
Molecule: unclassified non-coding RNA, 148 nt
Organism: Callithrix jacchus (white-tufted-ear marmoset)
Lineage: Eukaryota; Metazoa; Chordata; Mammalia; Primates; Cebidae
Rfam family: Metazoan signal recognition particle RNA
About the family: The signal recognition particle (SRP) is a universally conserved ribonucleoprotein. It is involved in the co-translational targeting of proteins to membranes.
Source: Ensembl